AUGGGUCGUAACUUCAACUCGUUUUUUUCAAAGACUUCGCAAAGGGUUGUAUUCGUUGUACCGAAUCUUCCGUUCCAACUUCCAAGUUGCAAAUUUACCUUAUUUUUUUUAGAACACCAAGUUGCAAAAUUAUCUCAAGACCCAGUGUUUAAGGUCAUCAACGCCUUUUACUGUCGCAUAAGUUCUGUUAUCAUAAGGUUCCUUCUCGAAAACACUGGAGUAGCUCAUUUUCUGGGGUACAAAAACCAGGAGUUGUUGAAUCAUCCUAGGCACCUACCAAUGCUCAUGGCAUCUCGUCCGUUGACCAAUAAACCACAAAAUAUCUUAGCAAGACUUGCACUUUUGUAA
Molecule: ribosomal RNA, 348 nt
Filed under: Triticum aestivum (bread wheat)
Lineage: Eukaryota; Viridiplantae; Streptophyta; Magnoliopsida; Poales; Poaceae
Description: partial small subunit ribosomal RNA
Source: RNAcentral